ACUUAACUUAUUGUCCUCAAUUCGAUCCUCUUCUAGCUCCAAGUGUCUUAUGACAUCGUCAAGAGAUCUAAUGUCUUCAUUAUGGGUUAGGUGGAUCUUCAUAUGUUCUGAACUUUGGGGCAAGGGACGAAUGACAGCUUGGACCUGUUGUUCAUUAGUAAGAAUAUGAUCAACAGUUUUUAGCUCAUUUAUCAUAUCUACAUUUUCCUUAUAUGUUUUUUCAUUGUAUGAUCAGGGCGUAUCUGUAAGUGUUAAACUUAAUAAUAAGUGACCGAAGUUUGG
RNAcentral lists this long non-coding RNA (282 nucleotides) under Carica papaya (papaya). RNAcentral's name for it is "long non-coding RNA (CPAP_LNC001945)". The record is from RNAcentral. Lineage: Eukaryota; Viridiplantae; Streptophyta; Magnoliopsida; Brassicales; Caricaceae.